This 518-nucleotide ribosomal RNA is filed under the name Escherichia sp. oral clone 3RH-30. RNAcentral's name for it is "bacterial SSU rRNA". It matches the Rfam family "Bacterial small subunit ribosomal RNA", at positions 8 to 521 of the family's 1533-position model. Lineage: Bacteria; Pseudomonadati; Pseudomonadota; Gammaproteobacteria; Enterobacterales; Enterobacteriaceae. The record is from RNAcentral.
AGAGUUUGAUCAUGGCUCAGAUUGAACGCUGGCGGCAGGCCUAACACAUGCAAGCCGAGCGGAUGAAGGGAGCUUGCUCCUGGAUUCAGCGGCGGACGGGUGAGUAAUGUCUGGGAAACUGCCUGAUGGAGGGGGAUAACUACUGGAAACGGUAGCUAAUACCGCAUAACGUCGCAAGACCAAAGAGGGGGACCUUCGGGCCUCUUGCCAUCGGAUGUGCCCAGAUGGGAUUAGCUAGUAGGUGGGGUAACGGCUCACCUAGGCGACGAUCCCUAGCUGGUCUGAGAGGAUGACCAGCCACACUGGAACUGAGACACGGUCCAGACUCCUACGGGAGGCAGCAGUGGGGAAUAUUGCACAAUGGGCGCAAGCCUGAUGCAGCCAUGCCGCGUGUAUGAAGAAGGCCUUCGGGUUGUAAAGUACUUUCAGCGGGGAGGAAGGGAGUAAAGUUAAUACCUUUGCUCAUUGACGUUACCCGCAGAAGAAGCACCGGCUAACUCCGUGCCAGCAGCCGCGGU